RNAcentral lists this transfer RNA (72 nucleotides) under Saccoglossus kowalevskii. Its description in RNAcentral is "tRNA-Asp". It matches the Rfam family "tRNA". From Rfam's summary of the family: Transfer RNA (tRNA) molecules are approximately 80 nucleotides in length. Their secondary structure includes four short double-helical elements and three loops (D, anti-codon, and T loops). Lineage: Eukaryota; Metazoa; Hemichordata; Enteropneusta; Harrimaniidae. The record is from RNAcentral.
UCUUCGAUAGUAUAGUGGUGAGUAUCUCCGCCUGUCACGCGGAAGACCGGGGUUCAAUUCCCCGUCGGGGAG